GACGAACGCUGGCGGCGUGCUUAACACAUGCAAGUCGAACGGAAAGGCCCUGCUUUUGUGGGGUGCUCGAGUGGCGAACUGGUGAGUAACACGUGAGUAACCUGCCCUUGACUGUGGGAUAACUUCAUGAAACUGGGGCUAAUACCGGAUAGGAGCUCCUGCUUCAUGGUGGGGGUUGGAAAGUUUCGGCGGUUGGUGAUGGACUCGCGGCUCAUCAGCUUGUUGGUGGGGUAGUGUCUUACCAAGGCUUUGACGGGUAGCCGGCCUGAGAGGGUGACCGGCCACAUUGGGACUGAGAUGAGGCACAGACUACUACGGGAGGCAGCAGUGGGGAAUAUUGCACUAUGGGAGGAAGCCUGAUGCAGCAAAGCCGCGUGCGGGAUGACGGCCUUCGGGUUGUAAACCGAUUUCGCCUGUGCCGAAGCGUGAGUGACGGUAAUGGGUAAAGAAGCACCGGCUAACUACGUG
This 468-nucleotide ribosomal RNA is filed under the name uncultured bacterium. RNAcentral describes it as "partial 16S ribosomal RNA". It matches the Rfam family "Bacterial small subunit ribosomal RNA", at positions 28 to 507 of the family's 1533-position model. The record is from RNAcentral.